UGGGGAAUAUUAGGCAAUGGGGGAAACCCUGACCUAGCCAUGCCGCGUGCGUGAAGAAGGUCUUAGGAUUGUAAAGCGCUUUCACCGGUGAAGAUAAUGACGGUAGCCGGAGAAGAAGCCCCGGCUAACUCCGUGCCAGCAGCCGCGGUAAUACGGAGGGGGCUAGCGUUGUUCGGAAUUACUGGGCGUAAAGCGCGCGUAGGCGGACCAGAAAGUUGGGGGUGAAAUCCCGGGGCUCAACCCCGGAACUGCCUCCAAAACUAUUGGUCUAGAGUUCGAGAGAGGUGAGUGGAAUUCCGAGUGUAGAGGUGAAAUUCGUAGAUAUUCGGAGGAACACCAGUGGCGAAGGCGGCUCACUGGCUCGAUACUGACGCUGAGGUGCGAAAGUGUGGGGAGCAAACAGGAUUAGAUACCCUGGUAGUCCACACCGUAAACGAUGAAUGCCAGUCGUCGGAUAGCAUGCUAUUCGGUGACACACCUAACGGAUUAAGCAUUCCGCCUGGGAGUACGGUCGCAAGAUUAAAACUCAAAGGAAUU
Molecule: ribosomal RNA, 537 nt
Filed under: uncultured bacterium
Lineage: Bacteria
Description: bacterial SSU rRNA
Rfam family: Bacterial small subunit ribosomal RNA
Source: RNAcentral